Molecule: ribosomal RNA, 779 nt
Filed under: uncultured bacterium
Lineage: Bacteria
Description: bacterial SSU rRNA
Rfam family: Bacterial small subunit ribosomal RNA
Source: RNAcentral
AGAGUUUGAUCCUGGCUCAGGAUGAACGCUGGCGGCGUGCUUAACACAUGCAAGUCGAACGGUGAACACGGAGCUUGCUCUGUGGGAUCAGUGGCGAACGGGUGAGUAACACGUGAGCAACCUGCCCCUGACUCUGGGAUAAGCGCUGGAAACGGCGUCUAAUACUGGAUAUGUGACGUGAUCGCAUGGUCUGCGUCUGGAAAGAAUUUCGGUUGGGGAUGGGCUCGCGGCCUAUCAGCUUGUUGGUGAGGUAAUGGCUCACCAAGGCGUCGACGGGUAGCCGGCCUGAGAGGGUGACCGGCCACACUGGGACUGAGACACGGCCCAGACUCCUACGGGAGGCAGCAGUGGGGAAUAUUGCACAAUGGGCGCAAGCCUGAUGCAGCAACGCCGCGUGAGGGACGACGGCCUUCGGGUUGUAAACCUCUUUUAGCAGGGAAGAAGCGAAAGUGACGGUACCUGCAGAAAAAGCGCCGGCUAACUACGUGCCAGCAGCCGCGGUAAUACGUAGGGCGCAAGCGUUAUCCGGAAUUAUUGGGCGUAAAGAGCUCGUAGGCGGUUUGUCGCGUCUGCUGUGAAAUCCGGAGGCUCAACCUCCGGCCUGCAGUGGGUACGGGCAGACUAGAGUGCGGUAGGGGAGAUUGGAAUUCCUGGUGUAGCGGUGGAAUGCGCAGAUAUCAGGAGGAACACCGAUGGCGAAGGCAGAUCUCUGGGCCGUAACUGACGCUGAGGAGCGAAAGGGUGGGGAGCAAACAGGAUUAGAUACCCUGGUAGUCCAA